AUGAACGCUGGCGGCGUGCCUAAUACAUGCCGGUCGAGCGAACAGACGAGGAGCUUGCUCCUCUGACGUUAGCGGCGGACGGGUGAGUAACACGUGGAUAACCUACCUAUAAGACUGGGAUAACUUCGGGAAACCGGAGCUAAUACCGGAUAAUAUAUUGAACCGCAUGGUUCAAUAGUGAAAGACGGUUUUGCUGUCACUUAUAGAUGGAUCCGCGCCGCAUUAGCUAGUUGGUAAGGUAACGGCUUACCAAGGCAACGAUGCGUAACCGACCUGAGAGGGUGAUCGGCCACACUGGAACUGAGACACGGUCCAGACUCCUACGGGAGGCAGCAGUAGGGAAUCUUCCGCAAUGGGCGAAAGCUUUACGGAGCAACGCCGCGUGAGUGAUGAAGGUCUUCGGAUCGUAAAACUCUGUUAUUAGGGAAGAACAAAUGUGUAAGUAACUAUGCACGUCUUGACGGUACCUAAUCAGAAAGCCACGGCUAACUACGUG
RNAcentral lists this ribosomal RNA (496 nucleotides) under uncultured bacterium. RNAcentral describes it as "partial 16S ribosomal RNA". It matches the Rfam family "Bacterial small subunit ribosomal RNA", at positions 29 to 507 of the family's 1533-position model. The record is from RNAcentral.